This 376-nucleotide ribosomal RNA is filed under the name uncultured bacterium. RNAcentral's name for it is "bacterial SSU rRNA". It matches the Rfam family "Bacterial small subunit ribosomal RNA", at positions 28 to 408 of the family's 1533-position model. The record is from RNAcentral.
GAUGAACGCUAGCGGGAGGCCUAACACAUGCAAGCCGAGCGGUAUUGUUUCUUCGGAAAUGAGAGAGCGGCGUACGGUGCGGAACACGUGUGUAACCUGCCUUUAUCUGGGGGAUAGCCUUUCGAAAGGAAGAUUAAUACUCCAUAAUAUAUUGAACGGCAUCGUUUAAUAUUGAAAGCUCCGGCGGAUAGAGAUGGGCACGCGCAAGAUUAGCUAGUUGGUGAGGUAACGGCUCACCAAGGCGAUGAUCUUUAGGGGCCUGAGAGGUGAUCCCCCACACUGGUACUGAGACACGGACCAGACCUCCUACGGGAGGCAGCAGUGAGGAAUAUUGGUCAAUGGGUGCAAGCCUGAACCAGCCAUCCCGCGUGAAGGA